UGGGGAAUAUUGCACAAUGGGCGCAAGCCUGAUGCAGCAACGCCGCGUGAACGAUGAAGGUCUUCGGAUCGUAAAGUUCUGUUGCAGGGGAAGAUAAUGACGGUACCCUGUGAGGAAGCCCCGGCUAACUACGUGCCAGCAGCCGCGGUAAUACGUAGGGGGCUAGCGUUAUCCGGAUUUACUGGGCGUAAAGGGUGCGUAGGUGGUCUUUCAAGUCGGUGGUUAAAGGCUACGGCUCAACCGUAGUUAGCCUCCGAAACUGGAAGACUUGAGUGCAGGAGAGGAAAGUGGAAUUCCCAGUGUAGCGGUGAAAUGCGUAGAUAUUGGGAGGAACACCAGUAGCGAAGGCGGCUCACUGGACCAUUACUGACGCUGAGGUGCGAAAGCGUGGGGAGCAAACAGG
Molecule: ribosomal RNA, 403 nt
Filed under: Verrucomicrobiota bacterium
Lineage: Bacteria; Pseudomonadati; Verrucomicrobiota
Description: Verrucomicrobia bacterium partial 16S ribosomal RNA
Rfam family: Bacterial small subunit ribosomal RNA
Source: RNAcentral